AUUGAACGCUGGCGGCAGGCCUAACACAUGCAAGUCGAACGGUAGCACAGAGAGCUUGCUCUCGGGUGACGAGUGGCGGACGGGUGAGUAACGUCUGGGAAACUGCCCGAUGGAGGGGGAUAACUACUGGAAACGGUAGCUAAUACCGCAUAACGUCGCAAGACCAAAGUGGGGGACCUUCGGGCCUCACACCAUCGGAUGUGCCCAGAUGGGAUUAGCUAGUAGGUGGGGUAAUGGCUCACCUAGGCGACGAUCCCUAGCUGGUCUGAGAGGAUGACCAGCCAACCUGGAACUGAGACACGGUCCAGACUCCUACGGGAGGCAGCAGUGGGGAAUAUUGCACAAUGGGCGCAAGCCUGAUGCAGCCAUGCCGCGUGUAUGAAGAAGGCCUUCGGGUUGUAAAGUACUUUCAGCGGGGAGGAAGGCGGUGAAGUUAAUAACUUCACCGAUUGACGUUACCCGCAGAAGAAGCACCGGCUAACUCCGUGCCAGCCGCCGCGGUAA
Molecule: ribosomal RNA, 504 nt
Filed under: uncultured bacterium
Lineage: Bacteria
Description: partial 16S ribosomal RNA
Rfam family: Bacterial small subunit ribosomal RNA
Source: RNAcentral